This 484-nucleotide ribosomal RNA is filed under the name uncultured bacterium. RNAcentral's name for it is "partial 16S ribosomal RNA". It matches the Rfam family "Bacterial small subunit ribosomal RNA", at positions 30 to 507 of the family's 1533-position model. The record is from RNAcentral.
AUUGAACGCUGGCGGCAGGCCUAACACAUGCAAGUCGAGCGGAUGAAGGGAGCUUGCUCCUGGAUUCAGCGGCGGACGGGUGAGUAAUGCCUAGGAAUCUGCCUGGUAGUGGGGGAUAACGUCCGGAAACGGGCGCUAAUACCGCAUACGUCCUGAGGGAGAAAGUGGGGGAUCUUCGGACAUCACGCUAUCAGAUGAGCCUAGGUCGGAUUAGCUAGUUGGUGGGGUAAAGGCCUACCAAGGCGACGAUCCGUAACUGGUCUGAGAGGAUGAUCAGUCACACUGGAACUGAGACACGGUCCAGACUCCUACGGGAGGCAGCAGUGGGGAAUAUGGGGCAAUGGGCGAAAGCCUGAUCCAGCCAUGCCGCGUGUGUGAAGAAGGUCUUCGGAUUGUAAAGCACUUUAAGUUGGGAGGAAGGGCAGUAAGUUAAUACCUUGCUGUUUUGACGUUACCAACAGAAUAAGCACCGGCUAACUUCGUG